This 1047-nucleotide ribosomal RNA is filed under the name Clostridioides difficile. Its description in RNAcentral is "partial 23S ribosomal RNA". It matches the Rfam family "Bacterial large subunit ribosomal RNA", at positions 1646 to 2703 of the family's 2925-position model. The record is from RNAcentral. Lineage: Bacteria; Bacillati; Bacillota; Clostridia; Peptostreptococcales; Peptostreptococcaceae.
ACCGCAAACCGACACAGGUGGGUGAGGAGAGUAUCCUAAGGCCAGCGAGAGAACUGUUGUUAAGGAACUCGGCAAAAUGACCCCGUAACUUAGGGAUAAGGGGUGCCACCAUCCGGUGGCCGCAGAGAAUAGGCCCAAGCGACUGUUUACCAAAAACAUAGGUUUCUGCUAAGUCGCAAGACGAUGUAUAGGAGCUGACGCCUGCCCGGUGCUGGAAGGUUAAGGGGAUCUGUUAGAGCAAUCGAAGCAGUGAACUUAAGCCCCAGUAAACGGCGGCCGUAACUAUAACGGUCCUAAGGUAGCGAAAUUCCUUGUCGGGUAAGUUCCGACCCGCACGAAAGGCGUAACGAUUUGGGCACUGUCUCAACAACAGACUCGGUGAAAUUGUAAUUCCGGUGAAGAUGCCGGAUACCUGCGACAGGACGGAAAGACCCCAUGGAGCUUUACUGUAGCUUGACAUUGGGUCUUGGUACUACAUGUACAGGAUAGGUGGGAGGCUUUGAAACCAGGACGCCAGUUUUGGCGGAGCCAUCCUUGGGAUACCACCCUUGUAGUACUGGGACUCUAACCAUAGGCCAUGAAUCUGGUCUUGGGACACUGUCAGGUGGGCAGUUUGACUGGGGCGGUCGCCUCCCAAAAGGUAACGGAGGCGCUCAAAGGUUCUCUCAGUACGGUCGGAAAUCGUACGUAGAGUGUAAAGGCAAAAGAGAGCUUGAUUGCAAGACAUACAGGUCGAGCAAGGAUGAAAAUCGGACUUAGUGAUCCGGUGGUUCUGCGUGGAAGGGCCAUCGCUCAACGGAUAAAAGCUACCCUGGGGAUAACAGGCUUAUCUCCCCCAAGAGUCCACAUCGACGGGGAGGUUUGGCACCUCGAUGUCGGCUCAUCACAUCCUGGGGCUGUAGUAGGUCCCAAGGGUUGGGCUGUUCGCCCAUUAAAGUGGUACGCGAGCUGGGUUCAGAACGUCGUGAGACAGUUCGGUCCCUAUCCGUCGCAGGCGUAGGAAAUUUGAGAAGACCUGUCCUUAGUACGAGAGGACCGGGAUGGACG